RNAcentral lists this ribosomal RNA (445 nucleotides) under uncultured bacterium. Its description in RNAcentral is "bacterial SSU rRNA". It matches the Rfam family "Bacterial small subunit ribosomal RNA", at positions 958 to 1398 of the family's 1533-position model. The record is from RNAcentral.
AACGCGAAGAACCUUACCAGGGCUUGACAUGCACGGUGCACCGUUAGAGAUAACGGGUCCUUUGGGGCCGUGUGCAGGUGGUGCAUGGUUGUCGUCAGCUCGUGUCGUGAGAUGUUGGGUUAAGUCCCGCAACGAGCGCAACCCUUGUCCUAUGUUGCCAGCACGCCUUUAUGGUGGUGGGGACUCGUGGGAGACUGCCGGGGUCAACUCGGAGGAAGGUGGGGAUGACGUCAAAUCAUCAUGCCCCUUAUGUCCUGGGCUGCACGCAUGCUACAAUGGCCGGUACAAAGGGCUGCGAUACCGUGAGGUGGAGCGAAUCCCAGAAAGCCGGUCUCAGUUCGGAUCGGGGUCUGCAACUCGACCCCGUGAAGUCGGAGUCGCUAGUAAUCGCAGAUCAGCAAUGCUGCGGUGAAUACGUUCCCGGGCCUUGUACACACCGCUAGUC